Molecule: ribosomal RNA, 497 nt
Filed under: uncultured bacterium
Lineage: Bacteria
Description: partial 16S ribosomal RNA
Rfam family: Bacterial small subunit ribosomal RNA
Source: RNAcentral
GAUGAACGCUGGCGGCGUGCCUAAUACAUGCAAGUCGAGCGAACAGAUGAGGAGCUUGCUCCUCUGACGUUAGCGGCGGACGGGUGAGUAACACGUGGAUAACCUACCUAUAAGACUGGGAUAACUUCGGGAAACUGGAGCUAAUACCGGAUAAUAUAUUGAACCGCAUGGUUCAAUAGUGAAAGACGGUUUUGCUGUCACUUAUAGAUGGAUCCGCGCCGCAUUAGCUAGUUGGUAAGGUAACGGCUUACCAAGGCAACGAUGCGUAGCCGACCUGAGAGGGUGAUCGGCCACACUGGAACUGAGACACGGUCCAGACUCCUACGGGAGGCAGCAGUAGGGAAUCUUCCGCAAUGGGCGAAAGCCUGACGGAGCAACGCCGCGUGAGUGAUGAAGGUCUUCGGAUCGUAAAACUCUGUUAUUAGGGAAGAACAAAUGUGUAAGUAACUAUGCACGUCAUGACGGUACCUAAUCAGAAAGCCACGGCUAACUACGUG